GGGUUGUGAGGUUAAGCGACUAAGCGUACACGGUGGAUGCCCUGGCAGUCAGAGGCGAUGAAGGGCGUGCUAAUCUGCGAUAAGCGCCGGUAAGGUGAUAUGAACCGUUAUAACCGGCGAUACCCGAAUGGGGAAACCCAGUGUGACUCGUCACACUAUCAUUAACUGAAUCCAUAGGUUAAUGAGGCGAACCGGGGGAACUGAAACAUCUAAGUACCCCGAGGAAAAGAAAUCAACCGAGAUUCCCCCAGUAGCGGCGAGCGAACGGGGAGGAGCCCAGAGCCUGAAUCAGCAUGUGUGUUAGUGGAAGCGUCUGGAAAGGCGCGCGAUACAGGGUGACAGCCCCGUACACAAAAGCGCAUGUGCUGUGAGCUCGAUGAGUAGGGCGGGACACGUGGUAUCCUGUCUGAAUAUGGGGGGACCAUCCUCCAAGGCUAAAUACUCCUGACUGACCGAUAGUGAACCAGUACCGUGAGGGAAAGGCGAAAAGAACCCCGGCGAGGGGAGUGAAAAAGAACCUGAAACCGUGUACGUACAAGCAGUGGGAGCCCCACCACUAAGCCAGUGGUGAACUCCACAUACGCAUCCUUUGCUGAGGAUGCGGUUAACGGAGCGAAAGCGACGUUCAACCGCAAAAGAAGCAGAGGGGGCUUAGUGGUGGGGUGACUGCGUACCUUUUGUAUAAUGGGUCAGCGACUUAUAUUCUGUAGCAAGGUUAACCGAAUAGGGGAGCCGGAGGGAAACCGAGUCUUAAUUGGGCGUUAAGUUGCAGGGUAUAGACCCGAAACCCGGUGAUCUAGCCAUGGGCAGGUUGAAGGUUGGGUAACACUAACUGGAGGACCGAACCGACUAAUGUUGAAAAAUUAGCGGAUGACCUGUGGCUGGGGGUGAAAGGCCAAUCAAACCGGGAGAUAGCUGGUUCUCCCCGAAAGCUAUUUAGGUAGCGCCUCGUGAAUUCAUCUCCGGGGGUAGAGCACUGUUUCGGCUAGGGGGCCAUCCCGGCUUACCAACCCGAUGCAAACUGCGAAUACCGGAGAAUGUUAUCACGGGAGACACACGGCGGGUGCUAACGUCCGUCGUGAAGAGGGAAACAACCCAGACCGCCAGCUAAGGUCCCAAAGUCAUGGUUAAGUGGGAAACGAUGUGGGAAGGCCCAGACAGCCAGGAUGUUGGCUUAGAAGCAGCCAUCAUUUAAAGAAAGCGUAAUAGCUCACUGGUCGAGUCGGCCUGCGCGGAAGAUGUAACGGGGCUAAACCAUGCACCGAAGCUGCGGCAGCGACGCUGAUGCGUUGUUGGGUAGGGGAGCGUUCUGUAAGCCUGCGAAGGUGGCCUGUGAGGGUUGCUGGAGGUAUCAGAAGUGCGAAUGCUGACAUAAGUAACGAUAAAGCGGGUGAAAAGCCCGCUCGCCGGAAGACCAAGGGUUCCUGUCCAACGUUAAUCGGGGCAGGGUGAGUCGACCCCUAAGGCGAGGCCGAAAGGCGUAGUCGAUGGGAAACGGGUUAAUAUUCCCGUACUUGGUGUUACUGCGAAGGGGGGACGGAGAAGGCUAUGUUGGCCGGGCGACGGUUGUCCCGGUUUAAGCGUGUAGGUGUGUGUUCCAGGUAAAUCCGGUUCACUUUAACACUGAGGCGUGAUGACGAGGCACUACGGUGCUGAAGCAACAAAUGCCCUGCUUCCAGGAAAAGCCUCUAAGCAUCAGGUAACAUCAAAUCGUACCCCAAACCGACACAGGUGGUCAGGUAGAGAAUACCAAGGCGCUUGAGAGAACUCGGGUGAAGGAACUAGGCAAAAUGGUGCCGUAACUUCGGGAGAAGGCACGCUGACACGUAGGUGAAGUGAUUUACUCAUGGAGCUGAAGUCAGUCGAAGAUACCAGCUGGCUGCAACUGUUUAUUAAAAACACAGCACUGUGCAAACACGAAAGUGGACGUAUACGGUGUGACGCCUGCCCGGUGCCGGAAGGUUAAUUGAUGGGGUCAGCGCAAGCGAAGCUCCUGAUCGAAGCCCCGGUAAACGGCGGCCGUAACUAUAACGGUCCUAAGGUAGCGAAAUUCCUUGUCGGGUAAGUUCCGACCUGCACGAAUGGCGUAAUGAUGGCCAGGCUGUCUCCACCCGAGACUCAGUGAAAUUGAACUCGCUGUGAAGAUGCAGUGUACCCGCGGCAAGACGGAAAGACCCCGUGAACCUUUACUAUAGCUUGACACUGAACAUUGAGCCUUGAUGUGUAGGAUAGGUGGGAGGCUUUGAAGUGUGGACGCCAGUCUGCAUGGAGCCGGCCUUGAAAUACCACCCUUUAAUGUUUGAUGUUCUAACGUGGACCCGUGAUCCGGGUUGCGGACAGUGUCUGGUGGGUAGUUUGACUGGGGCGGUCUCCUCCUAAAGAGUAACGGAGGAGCACGAAGGUUGGCUAAUCCUGGUCGGACAUCAGGAGGUUAGUGCAAUGGCAUAAGCCAGCUUGACUGCGAGCGUGACGGCGCGAGCAGGUGCGAAAGCAGGUCAUAGUGAUCCGGUGGUUCUGAAUGGAAGGGCCAUCGCUCAACGGAUAAAAGGUACUCCGGGGAUAACAGGCUGAUACCGCCCAAGAGUUCAUAUCGACGGCGGUGUUUGGCACCUCGAUGUCGGCUCAUCACAUCCUGGGGCUGAAGUAGGUCCCAAGGGUAUGGCUGUUCGCCAUUUAAAGUGGUACGCGAGCUGGGUUUAGAACGUCGUGAGACAGUUCGGUCCCUAUCUGCCGUGGGCGCUGGAGAACUGAGGGGGGCUGCUCCUAGUACGAGAGGACCGGAGUGGACGCAUCACUGGUGUUCGGGUUGUCAUGCCAAUGGCACUGCCCGGUAGCUAAAUGCGGAAGAGAUAAGUGCUGAAAGCAUCUAAGCACGAAACUUGCCCCGAGAUGAGUUCUCCCUGAGACUUAGAGUCUCCUGAAGGAACGUUGAAGACGACGACGUUGAUAGGCCGGGUGUGUAAGCGCAGCGAUGCGUUGAGCUAACCGGUACUAAUGAACCGUGAGGCUUAACCUUACAACGCCGAAG
RNAcentral lists this ribosomal RNA (3028 nucleotides) under Salmonella enterica subsp. enterica serovar Schwarzengrund. RNAcentral's name for it is "23S ribosomal RNA". It matches the Rfam family "Bacterial large subunit ribosomal RNA". Lineage: Bacteria; Pseudomonadati; Pseudomonadota; Gammaproteobacteria; Enterobacterales; Enterobacteriaceae. The record is from RNAcentral.